This 492-nucleotide ribosomal RNA is filed under the name uncultured bacterium. RNAcentral describes it as "partial 16S ribosomal RNA". It matches the Rfam family "Bacterial small subunit ribosomal RNA", at positions 29 to 507 of the family's 1533-position model. The record is from RNAcentral.
AGUGAACGCUGGCGGUAGGCCUAACACAUGCAAGUCGAACGGCAGCACAGUAAGAGCUUGCUCUUACGGGUGGCGAGUGGCGGACGGGUGAGGAAUACAUCGGAAUCUACUUUUUCGUGGGGGAUAACGUAGGGAAACUUACGCUAAUACCGCAUACGACCUACGGGUGAAAGCAGGGGAUCUUCGGACCUUGCGCGAUUGAAUGAGCCGAUGUCGGAUUAGCUAGUUGGCGGGGUAAAGGCCCACCAAGGCGACGAUCCAUAGCUGGUCUGAGAGGAUGAUCAGCCACACUGGAACUGAGACACGGUCCAGACUCCUACGGGAGGCAGCAGUGGGGAAUAUUGGACAAUGGGCGCGAGCCUGAUCCAGCCAUACCGCGUGGGUGAAGAAGGCCUUCGGGUUGUAAAGCCCUUUUGUUGGGAAAGAAAAGCAGCAGGUUAAUACCCCGCUGUUCUGACGGUACCCAAAGAAUAAGCACCGGCUAACUUCGUG